UACGAGUGCCCCAAGCGUUAUCCGGAAUUAUUGGGCGUAAAGGGUGUGUAGGUGGUCUUAUUAGUCUUCUGUUAAAUUUUCCGGCUUAACCGGAAACCUGCAGAGGAAACGGUAAGACUAGAGGAUGUGAGAGGUAUGCGGAACUCAUAGUGUAGGGGUGAAAUCCGUUGAUAUUAUGGGGAACACCAAAAGCGAAGGCAGCAUACUGGCGCAUUCCUGACACUGAAACACGAAAGCGUGGGUAGCGAAUGGG
RNAcentral lists this ribosomal RNA (253 nucleotides) under uncultured bacterium. Its description in RNAcentral is "partial 16S ribosomal RNA". It matches the Rfam family "Bacterial small subunit ribosomal RNA", at positions 524 to 776 of the family's 1533-position model. The record is from RNAcentral.